This 253-nucleotide ribosomal RNA is filed under the name uncultured bacterium. Its description in RNAcentral is "partial 16S ribosomal RNA". It matches the Rfam family "Bacterial small subunit ribosomal RNA", at positions 524 to 776 of the family's 1533-position model. The record is from RNAcentral.
UACGAAGGGGGCUAGCGUUGCUCGGAAUCACUGGGCGUAAAGCGCACGUAGGCGGCUUUCUAAGUCAGGGGUGAAAUCCUGGAGCUCAACUCCAGAACUGCCUUUGAUACUGGAGAGCUUGAGUCCGGAAGAGGUGAGUGGAACUCCGAGUGUAGAGGUGAAAUUCGUAGAUAUCAGGAGGAACACCGGUGGCGAAGGCGGCCAUCUGGAAAUCUACUGACGCUGAGACGCGAAAGCGUGGGGAGCAAACAGG